This is a long non-coding RNA of Formica exsecta, 1524 nucleotides long. RefSeq lists it as uncharacterized. The transcript has 3 exons. The record is from RefSeq and is a predicted model, not a curated record. NCBI's taxonomy places the organism in Eukaryota, Metazoa, Arthropoda, Insecta, Hymenoptera, Formicidae.
CACGUAUAUAUUUCACAUACACAUGUAUAACCUAUAUACAACCGCGUUUUCUACUAGGCCACUAGGCGUCAAACGUCUCUCUCGGGAGUCUCGGGUAAUCGGGAUGUUAGAUUACAGCCGAAUAGGUCUCUCGUUUCGCAAUGAAACUCGCAAAACACGGCUGCUUAAUGUGCAUCAUUUAAUUUUCAUCUUAUCUACGUGUGCGUAUAUGUGUAUUGUACAUGCAUAGAUACAUACAUAUGCUGCAUCUGAAUAGAUCGCGUAUAUUUUUGUAAGCUUGGUCGCGAAACUGCGGAAUUGCUUUUAUUCCAGUGAUUGAACUAUCGCUAUUUGUGUCCAGACCGAUUAGUUUUUCGAUGUUUCCUUAUUGUUCGGAAAAUGUGAUAGAAGCGGAGCUGCAUGAAAGAAAGUGAAAGAUUAGAAAUUGUUAGCAUCAAACAAGUGUUGUGCGAUUAAAUACGCGAUAGUUGCCGCAACAUCAAAAUGAGAUAUGUAUCCACUUUGACUAGGGACUGUGCUUAGAUUUAUACAAUUAUGAAAAGAAGCUCGAGCAUAUACUUCACCCGAGAGUCCAAUCCUAUUCUGUAGGCCUAUUCUGUAACUUUUAACGACAAAUUCGCUAUCGUUACGCGUCGUUGCACAGCUAUUUUCCGAUAUGUUUCAGCUGCGUAACGACAAACCAUGCUAGUGAUAUUAUCGUUACGAAGUUACAAAAUAGGCCUACUGAGGAGAAAACGACUCGUGGAGUAUGUCUGAAAUAGUUUAUCGAAUCCUGCGUAUAGGAUCUUACAGCAGUUGCAAGUAAAACGCGCGGCUCCUGUAUCAUGAAUGUGGUCAGCAUAGCAGAGAGGUGGUGUCGAGGUGGUUGACACGCCUUCAUUUAUUUGAGAUGAUUGAAAGUGUAUCACGCAGAGCGUUGAGUGGCUCCAGUGGGAGAUACCACGAACGUGGUAGCUCCUUUUUGCUGAACUAGUGAGGAAUCGCAGAUUAAAAUCUUUAUCAGCCGUCGUUACCUUUCUGAUGAUACACAGCAUACAUUUCAAUUAGAUAAACGAGCAAAAGGAAAAUAAUCACGUAUUCUCGUAAAGAUCGCUUAGUUUGAAUUAUGUACAGCUACACUAACGAUAUAUGUCGUAGAGAAAGUUGCAGUACUCGUUAAAGAAGCGUACUUUCACUUCUUGUAUUCGUCAUACUCACUGAAUAGCUCUUCUAUUCUGCCGUUUAUUGCACAUGUCACGGGAAUUUCAAUCUAAUCAAGGCACGACAGGAUUAUGAGAUCGUAUUUUUCGUUUUUUAUUUUGUGCUAAUUUUAUUGUCUCUUAUUAUAAUACAUAUCUAUACUGAACUGCCGAUUUAUAUUUAUUUUUGUAGAACUUUCACUUUCUUUUAUAUAUACAGCCGUUCGUGCGUGUGAAUGAUGUAAAUCUCUAUCAGAGAAGUCAUUUUAUAACAAUAUACAGUUCCGAUCACCUUACGAUCACGCUGUGUUACAAAAGUUGAAUAAAAAAAUAGUUACCUUAGAAA